RNAcentral lists this unclassified non-coding RNA (700 nucleotides) under Hevea brasiliensis (rubber tree). The record is from RNAcentral. Lineage: Eukaryota; Viridiplantae; Streptophyta; Magnoliopsida; Malpighiales; Euphorbiaceae.
GUAAAAGAGGAGAGUCAUUAGCUGUUAGAAUCAAAGUUAAUUCACUCGUUCAUCCUGCAUCUUGCCAACAGCAGCAUUGUUAGUUUUUCAUCGAUUGAGAUUUCUGAGAAUGUCAAUCUUGACAUUGUGUCGUCGUGCCUGGCUUAUUCUCUGUGCGUGCGGUACAUGCUAAGGAAGCGUUUGUUAAUCAUGGUCAUGAAGAGGACUACUGAUUAUUGGAGCAUUCUGGUGUGAAUGUUGGCGGCUGCGUGGUUUGUGCUUGGAUUCGCCCAUGAAUUAAUGGCUAAGUAGCGCUUUGUUAGGGUUUUUGUAGUUGAAUUGGAAAUUUUCAGUUGGGACGGAAUUCUAGAGAUGCUGCCAAGCCUUGGAUAAAGUAGAGGUGCGAACUACGUCUCUUGGUGAUAGAAAAAAAAUAAGAUGUGGAGCACAAGGGUUUUGGCCAACUGAGGUAAAUGGUUACUGGUGUGAAUUGUAGUGUUGGUGGCAUCGAUUUUGUAUUUGUAUUCUCCAUGAUUUCCAAGCGAGACACUGAAGAUGGGAACUCUGUCUCUUGCAACGCGAUAGAUCUCAAAUUUAAUUUUGAUGUGUUGCAUAAGAGUUUCGAUUAGACUUUUAAGAAUUCUUUUUUGAUGCAAAUAGUUCCUGAGGCAUCGAUUACAGCUGAGAUGGGCAUCGUGUUCUUUGAAAAUGGAGGUUAUGU